This 72-nucleotide transfer RNA is filed under the name Marmota marmota marmota (Alpine marmot). It matches the Rfam family "tRNA". From Rfam's summary of the family: Transfer RNA (tRNA) molecules are approximately 80 nucleotides in length. Their secondary structure includes four short double-helical elements and three loops (D, anti-codon, and T loops). RNAcentral also lists the same sequence under 1 other name. The record is from Rfam by way of RNAcentral. Lineage: Eukaryota; Metazoa; Chordata; Mammalia; Rodentia; Sciuridae.
UGGGUUGUGGCUCAGUGGCAGAGCGCUUGCCUAGCAUGCAUGAGGCACUGGGUUCGAUCUUCAGCACCACAU